Long non-coding RNA from Erigeron canadensis, 1036 nucleotides. RefSeq lists it as uncharacterized. The transcript is spliced from 2 exons. The record is from RefSeq and is a predicted model, not a curated record. NCBI's taxonomy places the organism in Eukaryota, Viridiplantae, Streptophyta, Magnoliopsida, Asterales, Asteraceae.
UUCAUGGAUUUCAUAUUUUUCUUGUUUUUUCAUUGGUAAGAGCGAUUCGCAGGAGUGUUAGAGUAAGAAUGUUGAAAUCGUGUAGCAAUUUCACUAACAAAAAGCUAUUGGUGCGCGGUUAAUUUGACUGGUCCUUCAAAUGAUUUCGAUGAUGAUACACUAGAAUUACGAUUGAGUGAAAAUGUUAAUAAAGGAAUUAAACGAGAACAAGGCCAAUCAAUAGAACAAAAGCAGGCAAAGGGCUUAAAAGGAAAGAAAGCGGACCGGUGGAUGAAAAUAAGGGCAAACGAAGUUAAAGGAAACAAGUUGGGGGAGAUUUGAAGGAUAGGAAUUGAAUAUGAUGGUUGGCGAUGAACAAACCAUAAGAAGUCACCAAGGCUCAAAACGAUUGUUAGCGAGGUCCAGAACAUUUUGAAGAAACAAAGUCAUAAGGAGGCAGGGAAGACAAUAGCAAAGAAAAAUCACGCUACACUCAGAACUAUGACAUCUCUUAAUUCAUUGUGUCGUGCACUUCAUGGCCUAAGUGCCACCCAGUGGAUAUGUAUAAUUGAGAUGGGAUUUGGUAAGAUGUUAGCAUUUGACAUAAACGAAAUCCCACCUAAGCUAGCUUAUCAUGUUUUGAAUUGCUUUGAUGAUAAAAGACUGGUAAUAAAAGUAGGUGAAAGAUUGAUAGAAGUGACGUCACAAGUGGUACACGAAAUGUCAAGAAUACCUCGGGGGAUGAAGCUUCAAUCCGUGGAAGGUGAAACGCAUGAUGGAUCUGUUGUUGAUGUGUGGAAGCAACGAAACGGGAGUAAAAUUGUUACUGCUGUCAUAUUGAAGCUUCAAUCUGUGGAAGGUGAAACCCAUAAUGGGUCGGUGUACACAUGUUUAUUACAUUAAAACUAUCAGAACACAUGUUUUUAUAUGUGCAUAUGUUUGUGGGUUCGAUGUACACGUGUAUGGUUCUGUGUACACAUAUGUGGGUCGGUGUACACAUAUUUUUAUAAAAUAGUUUCACUUGUUUCAGUGAUAUACAAUGAGUAUUAUGACUUUA